RNAcentral lists this ribosomal RNA (494 nucleotides) under uncultured bacterium. RNAcentral's name for it is "bacterial SSU rRNA". It matches the Rfam family "Bacterial small subunit ribosomal RNA", at positions 23 to 518 of the family's 1533-position model. The record is from RNAcentral.
GUCAGGAUGAACGCAGCGGAGGCCUAACACAUGCAAGUCGAACGGGAUUGGUAGCAAUACCAUGAGAGUGGCGCACGGUGAGUAACGCGUAUGCAACCUACCUGUAACAGAGGGAUAGCCCAUAGAAAUGUGGAUUAAUACCUCAUAGUCCUGAGAAGUCGCAUGGCUUUUCAGGUAAAACUCCGGUGGUUACAGAUGGGCAUGCGUGACAUUAGCUAGUUGGUAAGGUAACGGCUUACCAAGGCAACGAUGUCUAGGGGUUCUGAGAGGAUGAUCCCCCACACUGGUACUGAGACACGGACCAGACUCCUACGGGAGGCAGCAGUGAGGAAUAUUGGUCAAUGGGCGCAAGCCUGAACCAGCCAUCCCGCGUGGCCAGGAUGACGGCCCUGUGGGUUGUAAACUGCUUUUUGUACAGGAAGAAAAAUCCCUACGUGUAGGGACCUGCCGGUACUGUACGAAUAAGCAUCGGCUAACUCCGUGCCAGCAGCCGC